This 460-nucleotide ribosomal RNA is filed under the name uncultured bacterium. RNAcentral's name for it is "partial 16S ribosomal RNA". It matches the Rfam family "Bacterial small subunit ribosomal RNA", at positions 338 to 795 of the family's 1533-position model. The record is from RNAcentral.
CCUACGGGUGGCAGCAGUGAGGAAUAUUGGUCAAUGGACGCAAGUCUGAACCAGCCAUGCCGCGUGAAGGAAGACUGCUCUAUGAGUUGUAAACUGCUUUUGUACGAGAGUAAAUCCGGAUACGUAUAUCCGGUUGAAAGUAUCGUACGAAUAAGGAUCGGCUAACUCCGUGCCAGCAGCCGCGGUAAUACGGAGGAUUCAAGCGUUAUCCGGAUUUAUUGGGUUUAAAGGGUGCGUAGGCGGUUAGAUAAGUUAGAGGUGAAAGCCCGGGGCUCAACCCUGGCACUGCCGUUGAUACUGGCGGGCUAGAGUUUAGUUGAGGUAGGCGGAAUGCAUGGUGUAGCGGUGAAAUGCAUAGAGAUCACACAGAACACCGAUUGCGAAGGCAGCUUACCAAACUACGACUGACGUUGAGGCACGAAAGCGUGGGGAGCAAACAGGAUUAGAUACCCUUGUAGUC